GAUGAACGCUGACAGAAUGCUUAACACAUGCAAGUCAACUUGAACUUCGGUUUGGGUGGCGGACGGGUGAGUAACGCGUAAAGAACUUGCCUCACAGCUAGGGACAACAUUUGGAAACGAAUGCUAAUACCUGAUAUUAUGAUUUUAGGGCAUCCUAGAAUUAUGAAAGCUGUAUGCGCUGUGAGAGAGCUUUGCGUCCCAUUAGCUAGUUGGAGAGGUAACGGCUCACCAAGGCGAUGAUGGGUAGCCGGCCUGAGAGGGUGAACGGCCACAAGGGGACUGAGACACGGCCCUUACUCCUACGGGAGGCAGCAGUGGGGAAUAUUGGACAAUGGACCAAGAGUCUGAUCCAGCAAUUCUGUGUGCACGAUAAAGUUUUUCGGAAUGUAAAGUGCUUUCAGUUGGGAAGAAAAAAAUGACGGUACCAACAGAAGAAGUGACGGCUAAAUACGUG
RNAcentral lists this ribosomal RNA (454 nucleotides) under uncultured bacterium. RNAcentral describes it as "partial 16S ribosomal RNA". It matches the Rfam family "Bacterial small subunit ribosomal RNA", at positions 28 to 507 of the family's 1533-position model. The record is from RNAcentral.